UACGGAGGGGGCUAGCGUUGUUCGGAAUUACUGGGCGUAAAGCGCACGUAGGCGGAUGUUUAAGUCGGGGGUGAAAUCCCGGGGCUCAACCCCGGAAUGGCCUUCGAUACUGGACGGCUGGAGGUCGGGAGAGGCGAGUGGAAUUCCGGGUGUAGGGGUGAAAUUCGUAGAUAUUCGGAGGAACACCGGUGGCGAAGGCGGCUCGCUGGCCCGAAUCUGACGCUGAGUCGCGAAAGCGUGGGGAGCAAACAGG
RNAcentral lists this ribosomal RNA (253 nucleotides) under uncultured bacterium. Its description in RNAcentral is "partial 16S ribosomal RNA". It matches the Rfam family "Bacterial small subunit ribosomal RNA", at positions 524 to 776 of the family's 1533-position model. The record is from RNAcentral.